UACGUAGGGUGCAAGCGUUAAUCGGAAUUACUGGGCGUAAAGCGUGCGCAGGCGGUUGUGUAAGACAGAUGUGAAAUCCCCGGGCUCAACCUGGGAACUGCCUUUGUGACUGCAAGGCUUGAGUGCGGCAGAGGGGGAUGGAAUUCCGCGUGUAGCAGUGAAAUGCGUAGAUAUGCGGAGGAACACCGAUGGCGAAGGCAAUCCCCUGGGCCUGCACUGACGCUCAUGCGCGAAAGCGUGGGGAGCGAUCCGG
Molecule: ribosomal RNA, 253 nt
Filed under: uncultured bacterium
Lineage: Bacteria
Description: partial 16S ribosomal RNA
Rfam family: Bacterial small subunit ribosomal RNA
Source: RNAcentral